UAACGCGAAGAACCUUACCAGGCCUUGACAUCCAAUGAACUUUCUAGAGAUAGAUUGGUGCCUUUGGGAACAUUGAGACAGGUGCUGCAUGGCUGUUGUCAGCUCGUGUCGUGAGAUGUUGGGUUAAGUCCCGUAACGAGCGCCACCCUUGUCCUUAGUUACCAGCACGUAAUGGUGGGCACUCUAAGGAGACUGCCGGUGUCAAACCGGAGGAAGGUGGGGAUGACGUCAAGUCAUCAUGGCCCUUACGGCCUGGGCUACACACGUGCUACAAUGGUCGGUACAGAGGGUCGCCAAGCCGCGAGGUCGAGCUAAUCCCAUAAAACCGAUCGUAGUCCGGAUCGCAGUCUGCAACUCGACUGCGUGAAGUCGGAAUCGCUAGUAAUCGCGAAUCAGAAUGUCGCGGUGAAUA
RNAcentral lists this ribosomal RNA (412 nucleotides) under uncultured bacterium. RNAcentral's name for it is "bacterial SSU rRNA". It matches the Rfam family "Bacterial small subunit ribosomal RNA", at positions 957 to 1368 of the family's 1533-position model. The record is from RNAcentral.